Molecule: long non-coding RNA, 2295 nt
Organism: Mesocricetus auratus (golden hamster)
Lineage: Eukaryota; Metazoa; Chordata; Mammalia; Rodentia; Cricetidae
Exons: 2
Source: RefSeq, a predicted model, not a curated record
GGCUCUGACAUGCUCUUCUGGCCUCUGAGGGUACCAGUCCUGCACAGAAAGCAUAAAAAUAUAUGAAGGCAGAGCACCCAUUUACAUAAAAGUAGAAUAUUUUGCAUAUCAAUGGUGAUUAGGAAAUGCCAGCGUCUCCGUCUCCUCUUUUCCCUCCUUUGACUUCCCUGAUACACAUAGACCAGUAGUCCUCAACUUGUAGCUUGUGACCAUUUUGGUAAACCUCUAUCUCCAAAAAUAUUUACAUUACAAUUAAUAACAGUAGCAAAAUUACAGUUAUGAAGUAGCAACACAGACAGUUUUAUGGUUGGGGGUCACCACAUCAUGAGAAUUGUAUUAAAGGGCCACAGCUUUAGGAAGGUUGAGAACAGCUGCUUUAGACCAUUUCUGUGUCUAGUGAAAUGCCGGUCAACACAGAGUUGUGAGCUUACAUGUAUAAUUCGCAGUUGUUUGAAUUCUGGCUGGGCCCAUUAGGAACUAAUGUCAGUAAGCUCCAGCUCUGUCAGUUGUAAGGUAUAAAGAAAACCAAGAGCCACCUCACAGAAGCUACACGCGCCUAAUUUGUUUUGGUUGCAGGACCUGGAUCCGGGCGUCAUGCCUGGGAAGCAUGCACUCUGCCUUCAUGCUUCAUCCCUGGCCCCAGCCCUGUGCGAUGAGGUACCAUGUGGCAGUAGAUGGCAAGGAAGCAUAAGAAGCCCACGAGGGUGGCCAGGAGUAGGCGAGUGACAUCCAUCCUGAGAAGCCUAAGUUGGACAGAGAAGGUGGUCUGUGGUGAGUUCGGAGAGAAGAUGAUGGUAGGAGGAUGUGCCUUUGCGAUGGCUGGCUGACUUGGCCUCACAAGCGUCUCGGCAGGGCCGGAAGUCUAGCAAUACUGAGGGCAGGGAUGUUGUAUAGGGAGAUGACAGAAAAGGAGAGAUGGGGAGAAGAGAGAAGACGAGGAAGGGAGGGAGGGAGGCUGAAGCAAAGAGGGCAAGAAUGCAUUGUGUUGGUGUGUGCUGUCCAGAGGGCGGAGUACUGACUCUUUCUGUGUCUUUUCUUGUUCCUGUAUAAGCGCUGGUCCCAGGAGACCUUAGGCCUAGGCAGAGCUGUUGAAAGCGCACCCCCUACUCCCCAGGAGGGCCUCCUCUCAGGGGCAGAGGUCUUACUAAGGUAAAAAGAGUACACAUAAAAGCUCAGCGAGAGGGAUGAGAAAAAGCCUCCUGAAGACAAGUGGCUGUCAUCUCAUGCCAGAUUCCCUGCUGACCCAGAGGGAACAAACACAGAUCAGACUGUGUCAGGGUAUGGCAACAUAAGAUAAAUGGAUUUCUUAAUCUGCUAGUUGGAGUUUGAAGGGGCUGAUGGAUUUUUUUUAGCAGGUUUCUUCCCUUGAAUGCCUUCUGUCACUAUGGGAUCCCCACUCUAACCUACCCAACUGCCCCAUUUCCCUCUCUGGUUUUGGAAAAGCCUGGGUCUACAUUUCCAAGAUUUCCUCUACCGGAGACAUAAGUACUGUGGGGGAGAAGAGAAUAACGGUUUGCUCAUCCUGAUCCUACCCACUGCUGGUUCCCUGUGCAGCUGUCUGGCCAGCUCCAGCCUCCUCCUCUCCACCCUCAACUUGGUUGGUGUGCUGGCUAGUUUUUAUGUCAAUGUGACACAAGUCAGAAUCAUUUGGGAAGAGAGCACUUCAAUUGAGAAACUGCCCACACCAGACUGGCCUGUGGACAAGCUUGUGGUGCAUUUUUUGAUUGAUGAUUGACGUGGGAGGGCCCAGCUCAUGAGGGGCAGUGCUACCCCUGGGUUGAUCGUCUUUUGUGCUAUAGAAAGCACAGUGAGUAAAGCCAUGAAGAGAAAGACAGUAAGAGGCGCUCCUCCAUGGCAUCUGAUUCAGUUCCUGCCUCCAGGUUCCUCCCUGACUUCCGCUGAUGAUGGACUAUGACCUGAAAGUUGUAACCUGGAAUAAACCCUUUCCUUGCCAAGGUCAUGGGUUCUAAUGCAGCAAUAGAGACACGAACAUGGGUGGCACCAGGUUUUCUGCAUGUGUGUUACAUUGCAGGAGAAGAUGCAAUCAACUCUGGCCUCUGCCCCUUGCAAUCUUCUUGAAGCUGUAGGGGAUGGUCCUGACCUUUAGAAAUCCACCCACCCAUAUGGCCCCAAUGCCAGUUCUGAUCACCUCAGGUCUUUUUCACCACUGGGCACUGCAGGUCAGAAACUUGCCACCAAAUUGCUUUCAAAAAGUCUAGUUAGCUGAGAGUGGACACUGGCCCAACCACUGUGAUUUUAGUGUUGGCUCAGCAAUAAAGGAGAUGUACAACUCUG